AUACCUUCUAACUUACAGCCCAUUAUAUACCCUUCCGUCUAUACAGCCCAUUCCAGAGCUUAUCCGAGUUCAUUCUCCCUCUCCUAACAAGCAUUCAAGUUAUUUCAAUUUCCCCAAUAUUCACAUAAUGGUAAAUGGACUGACUGGAUAUCUUAGUAUAUAUGGGGGGAUUAUUAACUAUCCUUUUAAUAUAACCUUCCAGGCAUCACAUUGAUGUCCGUGAUUUCUUCCCGUUAUGAGGAGCAGUAUUCGUAUUGUCAUUUUGCCUCUACCUCCUGGCUUCCUGUCAACAGCCCACAUCCUCUGGCGGCUGAUCAGGGUGCGUUUUAGAUGCCUAGCCUCCAAAUAUUGCCCUGGCCGUGUGCGACAACCCCCAUUCCUCCCCAACCACACCGCCUAAGCAUACUCUUUCCCCCGCUCCAGGCGGACCCAGCUUUAACACACAACAGGGGAUAAAAAAAGGCAAACAAGAAUACGAAGAAUUUUCCGCAGCUAAGCAAGCACCCCUCCCCACCACGGCACAACUUGCCCAGAAAUUCCCUCGAAAUUCUGUUCUCCCUACUGCAGCGUAGUAUUUCUCGCACCUGCACCCGCCUAUUUCUCCAAGGGAGGCUCGAGUCGACUGCCCCUCCAAGAACUUCCACCUCACCCUUCCCGUUGUGAAAUCUUCCCUCCCAAAGCCGCCCUACACACACACACACACACACACACACACACAUAUAUAUAUAUAUAACAUAU
This 738-nucleotide small RNA is filed under the name Histoplasma capsulatum. RNAcentral describes it as "hypothetical RNA". RNAcentral also lists the same sequence under 1 other name. The record is from RNAcentral. Lineage: Eukaryota; Fungi; Ascomycota; Eurotiomycetes; Onygenales; Ajellomycetaceae.